UAAAGUCAGAACUGGAUUUUUAUUAAUGAUUCUCCCUUCCAGGUUUCAGUUUUAUUGGGGGGAAAUGCAGUUCUUGGAGGGAUUCAGCAGCAGAAUUUGGGAGCUUGGGUUUUCCUAGGAGAGCAGGGAAGGGUUUUUGUGGGAAUGGGAUGUGAAAAUCAGACAGGGACAAAACUCAGAGAGGUCCUGGCCCUGAGUGACAAAAGGUGGGAGCUGGUGGUGGGCAACACCUGGAGAAGCUUUGAAAUGAGAAGGAAAAGGGACAGGAGCCCCUCUUUGGGUCACACACAUCCCAGGAGAAACCCCAAACUCUCCUGGAGCCAUCACUGAGUGUAAAACACCACAAAAUUUGCGUUUAUCCUGGCCUGGAGCUGCAGGAGCUCCCCCCAGGGCUGGGAGGGGUUAAUGAACAAUGGGGGUUAAUUCAAACAGCUGGCUGAGCUGGGGGAAUGAUUCCCUGAUCAAUAAUUCCCAAUAUUUCCCAAAUCAGCUUGGGGCAGGAAAGGAACAUCUCGGUGUAGGCCAGGCCUGAUGAGCCACGUUUGUCCCUGCCAGUGGUGACCCCAGAGCUUAUCCUCACCACGGAUUUGGGAUCCACCUUUCCUGGGAGCUGCUCUCCAGCACAGAUGUCGUUUCCAUGUGGUUUCCAGCUGGUCAGGGCUGAACCUCAAACCACCUCCGAGCUGGGAUGAGGCAGAGAAGAAGAAAUUCCAGCAGAAAUUCCAGCCUUUCUCCUGCUCCUCACGGUGUGCUGGAGUUCCCAUGGGACUGGGUGAUAUCCUGGUUUUUCCUGAAGUGAAAUUUGGAGUGUUGAUGGCUGCUGGGUGAUCUGGGCAUCACCAAGUGCUGGUUGGAGAAAUAUUUCAUUUUGGAGAUUUUAUUCCGUCUCCCUCUGGCUGCUGGGGAAGAUUUGGAAUUGUCCCAUUGAGUGGGGAUGGAGGUUUUUGGACUGGAAUAAUCUCCCUGCUGUGGAUGCUGAAUUUCCUCUCUCCCUUUUAUCUUCCCUGAAAAUACAACCACAGGAGCUGGGAGCUUUUUUCUGGAGGAAAAUAUUCAGAAAUAAAGGUUUGAAACCAGCAGAGAUCGGUGGCUUCUGGAGAGCAGGAAACACAGAGAAAUGGGGAAAAAAAAACCAGUGCAAAAAAGGCUUUAUUGGGUCUGAAAAAUCAGAGAUUUUGGGCAUGGAAGGGAACACAGGCAUGGGAACUGAUUUAUUUCUCCUGGCACUUCAAGGUGCUCCUAAAAACAAAGGCUGCUGGUGUUUGUGGGUCCCUCAGAGCCUUGGAAUAUUCCAUGGGCACCCAGCAGAGUCUUUGGGAUUUUGGAGAGGCGAUGAUUUCCCCCGUGAGGAUCCCAAAACCGGGAACCGAGGCCUUGGUGAGGGCCUGGCCUGCUGGAGCUGUCCCUGGGGUGGGAACGGGAUCAGUUUUUAACAUUUAACAUUCCCUCCAACCCAAGCCAGGCUGGAAUCCUGAAUCCAGAAUACAGAAAUCCCUGAGAGAGCAGCAACCAGCGGCUUUUCCUCGUGAAAUCCCCAAAACCAACCAAACCCUUCCCCUGACCCAAAGGCUUUUCCUGCCCCAGGGGCACAAAAUCUCCCAGAGCUGCUCUGUUCAUUCCGUGGAUUUUGGAUUCCUGGUGCUUGGAUUAAAAUAGAAGCUCCAGUGCUGGGCAGGCUCUGCUCAGCUGCUGCAUCACGUCCUGGCUUUUCCCUGUGCUCCCCAUUCCCUCCUGACGCCCUCUCCAGCCACCAGGCAGAGCCCUGGGGAAGGCUUUGGAUAAGUUUUGGAAUUCCCUGCCUGCCCUGAGUUUUCCUGGGGGCUCUGUAUCCCUCCACCACUCUCACAAAAUCCAUUUUCCACCUCGAUUAACAUUCACCAGAAAUCCCCAAUUAAAUUAUGUUUAUUUUCCCCUUUUCUGCUGCUUCUUCCCCAUUAAAACAGGAGCUGUUUACACAGGAGCUGCUUUCCUAAAACCUCUUUCCAUGAAGCUUUUAUCUUUUUUUUUUUUUUCCCCUCCCAAACCCUGCUUGAUUUUUAUUCCAUCCCUUUGUCUGUCCUAUAUUUUUUUUUCUCCCUGGCUGAUGCUAUCUAAGAUAGGAACAAGCCCACGUUGAAUUGCAAACACCCGGCAGUGGGAGCAGAACAAAACGGGAGUUGCACGAAGUAGGAAAUUUCUUAUCCCCUAAAAAAAAAAAUAAAAAUUAAAAAGAAGAAGUUGAUUGUCACUGGAGCCACCCCCGUGAUGCAGCUUUAGGAGCUUUGGGGUUGAUUUUUGGGUGCUGCCCCUCUCUGUGUUGGUUUUUUUGGUUUUUUUUUGGAUUCAGCUCCUGCAAUUUUUCCCCUGAGCGCCAAAAUUUUGGGGGGUGCUGGCGGAUUUUGCCAGUGGGGAGCAGAGACAAAGCCAGGGGAGAUGUGGAGUGGUGGAGCUGUGCCCUUUGCAUCCUCAAAUGAGACUUUUCCAUCCCCAAAGGUGAUUUUUUUUAUCCCCAAAGGAGAUAUUUUCGUCCUCAAAAGAG
Cyanistes caeruleus (blue tit) is the source of this 2518-nucleotide long non-coding RNA. RefSeq lists it as uncharacterized. The record is from RefSeq and is a predicted model, not a curated record. NCBI's taxonomy places the organism in Eukaryota, Metazoa, Chordata, Aves, Passeriformes, Paridae.